GACGAACGCUGGCGGCGCGCUUAACACAUGCCAGUCGAACGGAAAGGCCCUGCUUUUGUGGGGUGCUCGAGUGGCGAACGGGUGAGUAACACGUGAGUAACCUGCCCUUGACUUUGGGAUAACUUCAGGAAACUGGGGCUAAUACCGGAUAGGAGCUCCUGCUGCAUGGUGGGGGUUGGAAAGUUUCGGCGGUUGGGGAUGGACUCGCGGCUUAUCAGCUUGUUGGUGGGGUAGUGGCUUACCAAGGCUUUGACGGGUAGCCGGCCUGAGAGGGUGACCGGCCACAUUGGGACUGAGAUACGGCCCAGACUCCUACGGGAGGCAGCAGUGGGGAAUAUUGCACAAUGGGCGGAAGCCUGAUGCAGCAACGCCGCGUGCGGGAUGACGGCCUUCGGGUUGUAAACCGCUUUCGCCUGUGACGAAGCGUGAGUGACGGUAAUGGGUAAAGAAGCACCGGCUAACUACGUG
RNAcentral lists this ribosomal RNA (468 nucleotides) under uncultured bacterium. Its description in RNAcentral is "partial 16S ribosomal RNA". It matches the Rfam family "Bacterial small subunit ribosomal RNA", at positions 28 to 507 of the family's 1533-position model. The record is from RNAcentral.